Molecule: long non-coding RNA, 388 nt
Organism: Hemiscyllium ocellatum (epaulette shark)
Lineage: Eukaryota; Metazoa; Chordata; Chondrichthyes; Orectolobiformes; Hemiscylliidae
Exons: 4
Source: RefSeq, a predicted model, not a curated record
GAUGUGACAAAGAUGAUUGAAGGCAGACUGUGGACGUUGUCUAUAUGGACAUUGAACAAAGCAGACUGAUCCCAGUGAUUAAUGCCAAAGCCCUGUUGCCUGGGGAGAGGGUGAUGUUUGACUUUCUUGUACAGCUGCAGAUUGUGUGGUGAAGGUGCUCCCACAAUGUGGUUGGGAUAUUAAAUCAGAAUAAUUGAAGUUGGGAUCUAAAAAGCAAGUUUUUACAGUCAAUGGAUUCAUCAGGAUCUGAAUAUCAUUGGCAUUUAACUGUGGAAGAAGAAAGGAUGAGGCUGUCACUGGCUCGGCCAGCAUUUAUUGCUGCGUUUACCCAGAGGGCAGUUAAGAGUCAACCACGUUGCUGUAGGUCUGGAGUCCCAUGCAGACCAGA